This 240-nucleotide unclassified non-coding RNA is filed under the name soil metagenome. RNAcentral's name for it is "partial contains 5.8S ribosomal RNA, internal transcribed spacer 2, and large subunit ribosomal RNA". The record is from RNAcentral.
AACCAUAGAAACCUGCGGAGUACCUGCGGAAGGAUCAUUAUAGUAUAUGGAAUCUCCAUUCUAUAAACCCACUCUGCGUAUCUUGUAACUGUUGCUUCCAUGGGACUUGGUUCCGCCACACCGGCUUCACGGCUGGUGAGCGCCCAUGGAAGGAGAAACAAAACUCUUCUUUGAAACGUAGUCAGUCUGAACAAGUUUUUAUAAACGUUAAAACUUUUAGCAAUGGAUCUCAGAUCGGAA